Molecule: non-coding RNA, 842 nt
Organism: Aegilops tauschii subsp. strangulata
Lineage: Eukaryota; Viridiplantae; Streptophyta; Magnoliopsida; Poales; Poaceae
Source: RefSeq, a predicted model, not a curated record
UAAAUCCAUCCACGGGUAGCCGCCGAAUGUUAUCACACACAUUCACCUUGCGCAAACAGCAUCAUCGCACCCACGGUUUUAGUUAGCUCUCGGCCUUAGCUACGCACGGUACGAUGGGAGGGUUUGAGGACGGAUUGCUCCGGGGAAAGAAGGAAGGUGAGGGGUGGGCCGCCUCGAAUUGGGGACGACGCUUGAAACGUGCAGUGGGCAUGGAAACGCCCGGCGGGGAAGCGGUUCAUCUACCCGACAGGUCUGUUCAUGAUCCCACAACUCUCUGUGAUGCGAUCCUCUUCCCUCCUUCAUUUGAGGACCGAUCUGCCUCUUCCUUUACUUGGUAGUAUUAGUUUUCUCUAAUUGGAUGAUCCAUCUAUCCUAUCAAGUUGCUACGAUAGGGUAGGGAGGGAUGGCGUCAGGAUACCACGCAUCAAAUGGGAAAAAGACCGCGGUGUCUUGGCUGAGGUUGUCGCUUUGGCGCGUGUGGCACCGAAGAUGGUACAGGAGGCUACGGCGAGAAUGGUACGGGAGGCUAAGGCGAAAAUGGAAGAAGUGGCUAAAAAUAGACGGAGUUGAGUUAUACCUACUUUACUUGGGCUUAAAAAAAAGUGAUAUUACCUAUUAGGCCGUGUGGGCAGAAUGUUUCCCGGUUUCCCACUUCCUGCGUGGAGUGCGUCCAGUCCGUGGACUAAGAAAAGAAGAAAAACGUUACUAAAAAAAGAGAAAAACAAGAACCGUAGGGAAAUUUUCUACUGCAGCUACCUUUUAAUUCGUCCAAAGACUAAUCCAGCUACAAUGUAACCUUUUUAUACCAAAGAAAUGGGAAGGAAUAAAGAAGAGUAAAGCUA